AGACUCAACAUACGAUUGGAUGGCUCUCAGUCCUCUUCACCAUUUUGAUGACUAAACAGUGAACAAAACGGCAACUAGUCUGUGAGAACGAAAGAACAAAUGAGAGAGAAGUGAAACGUGGAAUCAGCUGGAGCCUCAGUCUGAACAGUUCUCAUUUGCAAUCAAUCAGUGAGAUAGGACAUCCCCAUCAACCUCUGCCACACAAGAAUACAGAGAGUCACGACUGCCCUGCACACCAGCCAGUGCUUCUCACUGGACCUCCUCCAGUGUUUCAACAUCAGCCCCAUCCUGCAGCGUUGCCCUCUACAACAUCCCCAGGAUCCGGUCUUUCCUCACAAAGGAUGCAACGCAACUCCUAGUCCAAGUGUUGGUCAUCUCCCAUAUGGACUGAUGCAACUCGCUUUUAGCUGGACUCUGCGACAAAACUGUUGUGUAGAGUGUAUCUAGAACACUGCAGUGUGCCUUGUUUUCAAUCUACCCAAAUUCUCCCAUGUGACCCCCCUCCUUUGUGACCCCCACUGGCUUCCUGUCGCAGUCCGCAUCUGAUUCAAUACGAUGGUGCUGGACUUCAAGGCUAUCAGCAGAACUGCACCCAUCCAACACCAAACAAUGGUCAGACCACACGCUCAAGCACAAGCACUCCACUAUAGCUGGCCGGCCGCCAUCGCUGAGAGCGAAGUUAUGACUCUUCUAUGUUCUGGUGCCUCAGUGGUAGAAGGAAUUUCCGACCAAUGUCAGGGCAGCAGAAACCUAAAUGUUAGUGUAAAUGUGAUAUCCUUCAAUAUUUACAUUUUUUUAGGGUAAUUGCAGAUGAAAAUGUUGUAUCCUGGAAUUCACAUUAUAGACUGCCACUAACUAUUUGUGUAGAUGUAUGUGGUGACAACAUAUC
This is a long non-coding RNA of Acanthopagrus latus (yellowfin seabream), 889 nucleotides long. RefSeq lists it as uncharacterized. The transcript is spliced from 3 exons. The record is from RefSeq and is a predicted model, not a curated record. Lineage: Eukaryota; Metazoa; Chordata; Actinopteri; Spariformes; Sparidae.